CAGAAACUAGAGGCCGCUGACAGAGAUAAAAAUUUAUGUUAUGUUAUUGCUUACCAUAUCUUAAACUAAACAAUCAGAGGAGCUUCCCGAACUCCGCGUUCCCACCCGAAGGUUGUGUUAUGGGUUUGGGGAGUCGGAUAAGGAAGUGAUAAUAAACCAGACGGAAGGAAUAUGUCAACAUGUCCUCAGUUCCACUUCUCCAUUGGUGUUGUGUGUGUGUGUAAAGCUUUCAAUAAAAGGCUGGACCAAAGGGGUGCUCGAUGGAAUGUCUUGGAGGUCGUCGUGUUCAGAGCAUGUGCGACUGAGCUUCCCCUUUGGUCCAAAGCUUUGACCAAAGAUACUACGUUGUCUGUGAUUCAUUCUCACCUCCUUGACCGUGAAUAUUUUAAAUGAUAUAGAGAGGAAAAAAACCUAUCAUAACUUGGUGCCGUGACCCGGAUCCCAACAUACCCAUCGUCUGGAUUUUUCUUUUUCCUGCGGAGCCACUGACACCUGUGCAAGGCCCCGACUGAUCAUCGGAUUAAGAGACCGCUCAGCAGUGGAUAAAUUCUGCAGAAAGGAGAUCCAGUCGUGGAUUGACGGAUCCGCGGAUCGGAAGACCGAGGGAGACUGACCCAGACAAAGUCGGCGACUGGGUCUGCAUCCGCGUCAUCAAGAAAAAGACGUGGAGCGACGCUCGCUGGGAGGGACCAUUCCAAGUCCUUCUGACGACUGCAACCGCUGUAAAGAUAGCCGAGAGGACCACCUGGAUACAUCUUUCCCAUUGCAAACUGUUCCCUACAGAAAUCCCGGACCAGUGCCCUGAUCCCGAGACGACCACGAGCAGAGGGGAAGACUGACUUCAAAGGGGGCUGUCCGCUUAAAAGACAGCCAUCUCAACGUCAGUGAAGAAACCAACAAUCCCUGCUCUUAGGUGUCGCCUCGGAUGAUGGAGCCCAUUGAAACGACCGCGUACACUCAUAUGUAUGAUGACAUGGGAAGACCUGUCAAUGCUCCCGUUUAAGAAAAUAUAACGUAAACUUUUGGUUUAAGCUUGUAUGACAUAAUUGUGUAAAACUCCUCACAAGGAACGGACAAUUAUUGAUGUGAAGCUGCUGACUAAAAAGUUUAAUUCCCAAAGAGAUUGGUGUGGUGUUACUAACAAAUUAUGUGUAAGAAAAAAAGAAUAAUCAUGAUUCUGCUUGGACUGCUUAACCCAAAUACGUAAAUCACAUGCUGCUUAGAAAUUAGACAAAUCAAAUGAGUGCCCUUAUUGACCAUGUUUAAAUAAUAAGCAAUAGCAUAAACAGGAGGGAACUGACAGAGAUAAAAAUUUAUGUUAUGUUAUUGCUUACCAUAUCUUAAACUAAACAAUCAGAGGAGCUUCCCGAACUCCGCGUUCCCACCCGAAGGUUGUGUUAUGGGUUUGGGGAGUCGGAUAAGGAAGUGAUAAUAAACCAGACGGAAGGAAUAUGUCAACAUGUCCUCAGUUCCACUUCUCCAUUGGUGUUGUGUGUGUGUGUAAAGCUUUCAAUAAAAGGCUGGACCAAAGGGGUGCUCGAUGGAAUGUCUUGGAGGUCGUCGUGUUCAGAGCAUGUGCGACUGAGCUUCCCCUUUGGUCCAAAGCUUUGACCAAAGAUA
Molecule: long non-coding RNA, 1620 nt
Organism: Pseudoliparis swirei
Lineage: Eukaryota; Metazoa; Chordata; Actinopteri; Perciformes; Liparidae
Exons: 2
Source: RefSeq, a predicted model, not a curated record